GUGGGGAAUAUUGGACAAUGGGCGAAAGCCUGAUCCAGCCAUGCCGCGUGUGUGAAGAAGGUCUUCGGAUUGUAAAGCACUUUAAGUUGGGAGGAAGGGCAGUAAGUUAAUACCUUGCUGUUUUGACGUUACCGACAGAAUAAGCACCGGCUAACUUCGUGCCAGCAGCCGCGGUAAUACGAAGGGUGCAAGCGUUAAUCGGAAUUACUGGGCGUAAAGCGCGCGUAGGUGGUUUUGUAAGUUGGAGGUGAAAUCCCCGGGCUCAACCUGGGAACUGCCUCCAAAACUGCAUGACUAGAGUACGGUAGAGGGUAGUGGAAUUUCCGGUGUAGCGGUGAAAUGCGUAGAUAUAGGAAGGAACACCAGUGGCGAAGGCGACUACCUGGACUGAUACUGACACUGAGGUGCGAAAGCGUGGGGAGCAAACAGGAUUAGAAACCCGAGUAGUCC
This 450-nucleotide ribosomal RNA is filed under the name uncultured bacterium. Its description in RNAcentral is "partial 16S ribosomal RNA". It matches the Rfam family "Bacterial small subunit ribosomal RNA", at positions 354 to 796 of the family's 1533-position model. The record is from RNAcentral.